RNAcentral lists this ribosomal RNA (709 nucleotides) under uncultured bacterium. RNAcentral's name for it is "bacterial SSU rRNA". It matches the Rfam family "Bacterial small subunit ribosomal RNA", at positions 61 to 769 of the family's 1533-position model. The record is from RNAcentral.
GUCGGGGGGUAGAGUUAGCUUGCUAACUUGAGACCGGCGCACGGGUGCGUAACGCGUAUGCAAUCUACCUUUCACAAAGGGAUAGCCCAGAGAAAUUUGGAUUAAUACCUUAUAGUAUAUAUGAAUGGCAUCAUUUAUAUAUUAAAGAUUUAUCGGUGAAAGAUGAGCAUGCGUCCCAUUAGCUAGUUGGUAAGGUAACGGCUUACCAAGGCAACGAUGGGUAGGGGUCCUGAGAGGGAGAUCCCCCACACUGGUACUGAGACACGGACCAGACUCCUACGGGAGGCAGCAGUGAGGAAUAUUGGACAAUGGGCGCAAGCCUGAUCCAGCCAUGCCGCGUGCAGGAUGACGGUCCUAUGGAUUGUAAACUGCUUUUAUACAGGAAGAAACACUUGCUCGUGAGCAAACUUGACGGUACUGUAAGAAUAAGGAUCGGCUAACUCCGUGCCAGCAGCCGCGGUAAUACGGAGGAUCCAAGCGUUAUCCGGAAUCAUUGGGUUUAAAGGGUCCGUAGGCGGUCAGGUAAGUCAGUGGUGAAAGCCCAUCGCUCAACGGUGGAACGGCCAUUGAUACUGUCUGACUUGAAUUAUUAGGAAGUAACUAGAAUAUGUAGUGUAGCGGUGAAAUGCUUAGAGAUUACAUGGAAUACCAAUUGCGAAGGCAGGUUACUACUAAUAUAUUGACGCUGAUGGACGAAAGCGUGGGUAGC